AUAAUAAUUAGUCUUUUAAUUAAAGGCUGGAAUGAAUGAUUGGACGAGAUAAAUUCUGUCUCAUUAAAAUUAAAAUUUAAAUUUAAUUUUUAAGUUAAAAAGCUUAAAUAAAAUUAUAGGACGAGAAGACCCUAUAGAACUUUAUAAUAUAUAAUUAAUAAAUCUUAAUUUAAUUUUAUUAAUUUAAAAUUAUUUUAUUGGGGUGAUAGGAAAAUUUAUAUAACUUUUUUAAGUUUAUUACAUAAAUUAAUGGGUUUUUGAUCCUAUUUUUUAGAUUAUUAGAUUAAGUUACCUUAGGGAUAACAGCGUUAUUUUUUUUUAGAGUUCAUAUUAAUAAAAAAGAUUGC
This 347-nucleotide ribosomal RNA is filed under the name Scobina thoracica. Its description in RNAcentral is "partial 16S ribosomal RNA". The record is from RNAcentral. Lineage: Eukaryota; Metazoa; Arthropoda; Insecta; Hymenoptera; Argidae.